GACAUGCAAGUGGUAGGAAGCCGAAAGGUGACCGACCCUUCGGGAGCUUGCACAGGUGCUGCAUGGCUGUCGUCAGCUCGUGUCGUGAGAUGUUCGGUUAAGUCCGCUAACGAGCGCAACCCUCGCUGUGUGUUAUAUGUGUCACACGGGACUGCCGGUCUUAAGCCGGAGGAAGGUGGGGAUGAUGUCAAGUCAGCAUGGCCUUUAUAUCCUGGGCUACACACACGCUACAAUGGCCAACACAAUAGGUUGCUAAGCCGCGAGGUGGCGCCAAUCCAGCAAAACUUCCCUCAGUUCAGAUUGCAGGCUGCAACUCGCCUGCAUGAAGAUGGAGUUGCUAGUAACCGCAGGUCAGCUAUACUGCGGUGAAUACGUUCCCGGGGCCUU
RNAcentral lists this ribosomal RNA (387 nucleotides) under uncultured Leptolinea sp. RNAcentral's name for it is "bacterial SSU rRNA". It matches the Rfam family "Bacterial small subunit ribosomal RNA", at positions 983 to 1382 of the family's 1533-position model. Lineage: Bacteria; Bacillati; Chloroflexota; Anaerolineae; Anaerolineales; Anaerolineaceae. The record is from RNAcentral.